Phacochoerus africanus (Common warthog) is the source of this 718-nucleotide long non-coding RNA. RefSeq lists it as uncharacterized. The transcript is spliced from 5 exons. The record is from RefSeq and is a predicted model, not a curated record. NCBI's taxonomy places the organism in Eukaryota, Metazoa, Chordata, Mammalia, Artiodactyla, Suidae.
UGGUGGGCCUGAAGAGGCAUUUCUGCAUGAGAUUUGCAAGGCAGAAGUAAAGCCACAGCCAUUUUGAUUUUGAUGCUUACGAAGUAGAAGCAGGCACGGAUGUGGUUCACACACAUCAUUGUUUAUCUGUUGGCUCACCUCAUUGGCCUGCAACUGCUCCACCUUCCCCUGGCUUCUCCUUCAGCUUCUCCAAACUUGGAUCCAGGAAAACAAAAAUGGAGAGAUUUUUCGCCAGCAUACCUGCACUUAAAAAUGAAAAGUAAUCCCUAAUGGGUGCACAAAGAUGCAGGAAAAAAUGAAGUGCACUAGAAAGGUCCUGCCACCCAGCCCUCCUCUCUGCAUCCACGGAAGAUGUCCACUCAUCUAACUUCUUUUAAAACAACCCCAAAAAAGCAAUGAUGAGGAAUUCACUACCAAGUGGAACAGACUGCACCAGACUGCACUGCAGAAUUCUCCACCACUUCAGCCAAACAACCAUGGUUGAACGGCUGAAAGAUAGCAGUCCUCUCAGAGGUGACCACGCCCAAACAGCUCAAUCUGCCUCUGGGUUCCUGUAACUGCUCCCUCCCAGGGUCCCGGCAGCUCUUGGCAUGGAAACAGAGACUACUGAUACACGUGCUGGGUACCUCCUACACAGCAGCCGACACCUUGGUAAGUAGAGCCUGUGAAAUAUUACGGGAUAUAUAUAUUUAGUCUUUGCCCCUGAUUCCUGACCCGA